UAAAGAAUUUAAACACCAAGAAAAUGCAAAAAUCAAAUAUUACAUCUAAGUAGACACGUGUUGGAAUGUCAUAUAGGUUCAGAGUUUCAUUUUGUACAUAUAGCGAGAUUUAAUCCAUUAUGCAUCCUUACAAGUACAACAAUCUAAAAUAGAAAUUAACAAUAUUACAUUUAUACUAUAAUUAAUUGCACUACAGAGACACGUAGUGAUUAUAAGCAAUUGGCCAGCCAAUUGCACUCAUAAAUGCAGGUUGACCAUCUCAAGGAACAA
RNAcentral lists this unclassified non-coding RNA (270 nucleotides) under Hevea brasiliensis (rubber tree). Lineage: Eukaryota; Viridiplantae; Streptophyta; Magnoliopsida; Malpighiales; Euphorbiaceae. The record is from RNAcentral.